CCUACGGGAGGCAGCAGUGAGGAAUCUUGGUCAAUGGGCGGAAGCCUGAACCAGCCAAGUAGCGUGCAGGAUGACGGCCCUACGGGUUGUAAACUGCUUUUAUACGGGAAUAACGCGCCUUACGUGUAGGGCUUUGCAUGUACCGUAUGUAUAAGGACCGGCUAAUUCCGUGCCAGCAGCCGCGGUAAUACGGAAGGUACGGGCGUUAUCCGGAUUUAUUGGGUUUAAAGGGAGCGUAGGCCGCAUGUCAAGCGUGCUGUGAAAUGUCCGGGCUCAACCCGGGCCUUGCAGCGCGAACUGGCGAGCUUGAGUCCGCGGAAAGCAGGCGGAAUUCGACGUGUAGCGGUGAAAUGCUUAGAUAUGACGAAGAACCCCGAUUGCGAAGGCAGCUUGCUGCAGCGGAACUGACGCUGAUGCUCGAAAGCGCGGGUAUCGAACAGGAUUAGAUACCCUUGUAGUC
RNAcentral lists this ribosomal RNA (460 nucleotides) under uncultured bacterium. RNAcentral's name for it is "partial 16S ribosomal RNA". It matches the Rfam family "Bacterial small subunit ribosomal RNA", at positions 338 to 795 of the family's 1533-position model. The record is from RNAcentral.